GACGAACGCUGGCGGCGUGCUUAACACAUGCAAGUCGAACGAGAAGAGGGAAAGCUUGCUUUCGAAAGUCGAGUGGCAAACGGGUGAGUAACGCGUAGACAACCUGCCUUUGAGAUGGGGACAACAGUUCGAAAGGACUGCUAAUACCGAAUGUUGUAUAUUUUCCACGUGGAAGAUAUAUUAAAGAUGGCCUCUAUUUAUAAGCUAUCGCUCAAAGAUGGGUCUGCGUCUGAUUAGCUGGUUGGUGGGGUAACGGCCUACCAAGGCGACGAUCAGUAGGCGGUCUGAGAGGAUGAACGGCCACAUUGGGACUGAGACACGGCCCAGACUCCUACGGGAGGCAGCAGUGGGGAAUCUUCCACAAUGGACGAAAGUCUGAUGGAGCAACGCCGCGUGAGUGAAGAAGGGUUUCGGCUCGUAAAGCUCUGUUGUCGGGGACGAAUGUGCAGUAUUUGAAUAAAGUACUGCAAUGACGGUACCUGACGAGGAAGCCACGGCUAACUACGUGCCAGCAGCCGCGGUAA
RNAcentral lists this ribosomal RNA (524 nucleotides) under uncultured bacterium. RNAcentral describes it as "partial 16S ribosomal RNA". It matches the Rfam family "Bacterial small subunit ribosomal RNA", at positions 28 to 523 of the family's 1533-position model. The record is from RNAcentral.